This 422-nucleotide ribosomal RNA is filed under the name uncultured bacterium. Its description in RNAcentral is "partial 16S ribosomal RNA". It matches the Rfam family "Bacterial small subunit ribosomal RNA", at positions 360 to 774 of the family's 1533-position model. The record is from RNAcentral.
AAUCUUCCACAAUGGACGAAAGUCUGAUGGAGCUACGCCGCGUGAGCGAAGAAGGUUUUCGGAUCGUAAAGCUCUGUUGUGAGUGAAGAACAAGUACAGGUGUAACUGUCUGUACCUUGACGGUACCUCAUUAGAAAGCUACGGCCAUCUUCGUUCAAGCAUCUGCGGUAAUUCGUAGGUGGCAAUCGUUGUCCGGAAUUAUAGGGCGUAAAGCGCGCGCAGGCGGCCUUUUAAGUCUGAUGUGAAAGCCCACGGCUUAACCGUGGAAGGUCAUUGGAAACUGAGAGGCUUGAGUACAGAAGAGGAAAGCGGAAUUCCACGUGUAGCGGUGAAAUGCGUAGAGAUGUGGAGGAACACCAGUGGCGAAGGCGGCUUUCUGGUCUGUAACUGACGCUGAGGCGCGAAAGCGUGGGGAGCAAACA